This 360-nucleotide long non-coding RNA is filed under the name Neodiprion pinetum (white pine sawfly). Its description in RNAcentral is "uncharacterized LOC124223221". Lineage: Eukaryota; Metazoa; Arthropoda; Insecta; Hymenoptera; Diprionidae. The record is from RNAcentral.
GACGCGAGCUCGCGUAAAAUAAUGACAGCAUUGACGGCUGGAUUACUUACACCAUGGCUGGCUCGGUGUUGGAUCAAGCACGUGGAUAACUGGCUACAAAGGCACAGACUACAUUGCAGCACUAUUGACGAUACUAGAAAUUAUUUGAAGGAAGUGACCUGGCCGAUGGAUUUUUGAGUUCAAGGUGAAAACUAAACCAUCCACUUCUGUGAAUAAAAGUGAAAGUGUAAACUGUGCGUCGCUUCACUGUUCUUCCUCAGAUGCUGCCAGAACUACUACUUGUAAAGCGUGGAGCAUCCCAGAGGAGAUUUAAGCAGAGACAUCCGAGUAACUCCUCCAUUACUCGGCAACGUUGGUUGG